Lytechinus variegatus (green sea urchin) is the source of this 122-nucleotide long non-coding RNA. RefSeq lists it as uncharacterized. The transcript has 3 exons. NCBI's taxonomy places the organism in Eukaryota, Metazoa, Echinodermata, Echinoidea, Temnopleuroida, Toxopneustidae. The record is from RefSeq and is a predicted model, not a curated record.
AGUGACGACAGAUGGACCCACGGAUGCAGAUGUAAUUACCACUACUGAUUCAAUAACCACUGAUGACCUAACAACUGCUCCAACAACUGAUACAACUACAUAUCAAACUCAGACUGUCAUAG